CCCAGACUCCUACGGGAGGCAGCAGUGGGGAAUAUUGCACAAUGGGGGAAACCCUGAUGCAGCGACGCCGCGUGAGCGAUGAAGUAUUUCGGUAUGUAAAGCUCUAUCAGCAGGGAAGAAAAUGACGGUACCUGAAGAAGAAGCCCCGGCUAACUACGUGCCAGCAGCCGCGGCAAUACGUAGGGGGCAAGCGUUAUCCGGAUUUACUGGGUGUAAAGGGGGCGCAGACGGCGAUGCAAGCCAGGAGUGAAAGCCCGGGGCCCAACCCCGGGACUGCUUUGGAAACUGCGUUGCUGGAGUGCAGGAGGGGUAAGCGGAAUUCCUAGUGUAGCGGUGAAAUGCGUAGAUAUUAGGAGGAACACCGGUGGCGAAGGCGGCUUACUGGACUGUAACUGACGUUGAGGCUCGAAGGCGUGGGGAGCAAACAGGAUUAGAUACCCUUGUAG
Molecule: ribosomal RNA, 446 nt
Filed under: uncultured bacterium
Lineage: Bacteria
Description: bacterial SSU rRNA
Rfam family: Bacterial small subunit ribosomal RNA
Source: RNAcentral